UCUCUCUCUCUCUCUCUCUCUCGCUCCCCAUCUCCCCGCCCAAUGCUCUCGCUCUACCCCACUCUCUCCCUCUAACAAACCACCGAGCCCUCGUCCGACCAACGAGCCAUUGUGCCGCCCCUCCAACUCGUCCGUUGCCUCCAUCGUCGCCAAAUUGCUGCCCCUUCGCAUCUAUGCCCUCCCUCUCUCCCUUCAAGUCGCGACCAAACCCUCAUCUGACAAAUCACUGUGCAAUCUCUACCUCUGUCUUGAAAGGUACAACACAUGUCGCAUUCUCAAUGCCCUUUCAAUUUAUUGCGGUGCCACAUCUCAUGUAGCCAAUAUUUUCUCGAUUGAAAAGUAUGCGCACUGUAUUGAGUUACUUAUAUGUGGCUAUGACGGGCUAGUGCCACAUUUCUCUCAGGCGUCUGGUGGCCCGUUGGAUGAUGAGCUGGGAACACGACAAACUCUUCUUCUAGGAUAUCAGGUGGUCUUGCUCCACCAUAUUGGUGGAUCCGCUACAUACAGCAUUACCCGGCGCGUAGCCUCCGCUGUUGUUUGGCGGUUGGAAUAUGGCAACAAUAAGUUCCGCACUAAAACCCGCACUGGUAAUUCGGUAUUGCACUCCGAAUGUUUGCGCCGUGACCUCUUCGCCUGUUCAAAUCUGGAUAUGGAGUUUUGUUAUGGGGGUUAGACGGGUAAAGUUUUUGGUGUUGAGCUAAUUGGCAAAACGAAGCGAAUGGAUAUGUUAGUUUGAUUUGAUUUGGUUUGUAGAUUGUUGUGAAAACCCCACAUUUAAAGAGAAGUUGUGUUCACACUCGUUAAAGAGCUUAGGGAGUUGAAUCUUGUGACGUGGAACCGGCACCAUCCUCACUUUUGACAACCUCGUCAACGGUGGAAAGUAAUUGCUUCCUACUUUGAAUCCAUUUUGCU
RNAcentral lists this long non-coding RNA (912 nucleotides) under Eucalyptus grandis. Its description in RNAcentral is "long non-coding RNA (EGRA_LNC003892)". The record is from RNAcentral. Lineage: Eukaryota; Viridiplantae; Streptophyta; Magnoliopsida; Myrtales; Myrtaceae.